Molecule: ribosomal RNA, 252 nt
Filed under: uncultured bacterium
Lineage: Bacteria
Description: partial 16S ribosomal RNA
Rfam family: Bacterial small subunit ribosomal RNA
Source: RNAcentral
UACGAAGGGGGCUAGCGUUGCUCGGAAUCACUGGGCGUAAAGCGCACGUAGGCGGAUUGCUAAGUCAGGGGUGAAAUCCUGGAGCUCAACUCCAGAACUGCCUUUGAUACUGGCGAUCUCGAGUCCGGGAGAGGUGAGUGGAACUGCGAGUGUAGAGGUGAAAUUCGUAGAUAUUCGCAAGAACACCAGUGGCGAAGGCGGCUCACUGGCCCGGUACUGACGCUGAGGUGCGAAAGCGUGGGAGCAAACAGG